UACGUAGGGCGCAAGCGUUGUCCAGAAUUAUUGGGCGUAAAGAGCUCGUAGGCGGUCUGUCGCGUCGAUCGUGAAAACUUGGGGCUCAACCCUGAGCUUGCGGUCGAUACGGGCAUGACUGGAGUUCGGCAGGGGAGACUGGAAUUCCUGGUGUAGCGGUGAAAUGCGCAGAUAUCAGGAGGAACACCGGUGGCGAAGGCGGGGUCUCUGGGCCGAUACUGACGCUGAGGAGCGAAAGCGUGGGGAGCGAACAGG
Molecule: ribosomal RNA, 255 nt
Filed under: uncultured bacterium
Lineage: Bacteria
Description: partial 16S ribosomal RNA
Rfam family: Bacterial small subunit ribosomal RNA
Source: RNAcentral